CCCCUAGAUGUUCUGGGCCGCACGCGCGCUACACUGAACAGUUCAACAAGUCUUAACCUUGGCCGAUAGGUCUGGGUAAUCUUUGAACGCUGUUCGUGAUUGGGAUAGACCUUUGCAAUUAUGGGUCUUCAACGAGGAAUUCCUAGUAAACGCAAGUCAUCAGCUUGCAUUGAUUACGUCCCUGCCCUUUGUACACACCGCCCGUCGCUCCUACCGAUGAGUGGUCCGGUGAAUAAUUCGGACUGGACUUUUACGCGGUUCUCCGUGUGCUUGUCCGGGAAGUCUAGUGAACCUUAUCACUUAGAGGAAGGAGAAGUCGUAACA
Molecule: ribosomal RNA, 324 nt
Filed under: uncultured eukaryote
Lineage: Eukaryota
Description: partial 18S ribosomal RNA
Rfam family: Eukaryotic small subunit ribosomal RNA
Source: RNAcentral